GACGAACGCUGGCGGCGUGCUUAACACAUGCAAGUCGAACGCUGAAGCUCAGCUUGCUGGGUGGAUGAGUGGCGAACGGGUGAGUAACACGUGAGUAACCUGCCCUCUUCUUUGGGAUAACGCCCGGAAACGGGUGCUAAUACUGGAUAUUCACUGAUUCUCGCAUGGGGGUUGGUGGAAAGGUUUUUUCUGGUGGGGGAUGGGCUCGCGGCCUAUCAGCUUGUUGGUGGGGGGAUGGCCUACCAAGGCUUUGACGGGUAGCCGGCCUGAGAGGGUGACCGGGGACAUUGGGACUGAGAUACGGCCCAGACGCGGACGGGAGGCAGCAGUGGGGGAUAUUGCACGAAGGCCGAAAGACUGAUGCAGCGUCGCCGCGUGAGGGAUGGAGGUCUUCGGGUUGUAAUCCUCUUUCGGUAAUGGUCAGGCCGCAGAAUUGGGUUGUGGUGAGGGUAGUGGGUAAAGAAGCGCCGGCUAACUACGUG
This 482-nucleotide ribosomal RNA is filed under the name uncultured bacterium. RNAcentral describes it as "partial 16S ribosomal RNA". It matches the Rfam family "Bacterial small subunit ribosomal RNA", at positions 28 to 507 of the family's 1533-position model. The record is from RNAcentral.